UCAGAAAAUGUGGCCAGAGGGUCAGAGGGU
RNAcentral lists this non-coding RNA (30 nucleotides) under Homo sapiens (human). Lineage: Eukaryota; Metazoa; Chordata; Mammalia; Primates; Hominidae. The record is from RNAcentral.